GAUUAACGCUGGCGGCGUGCCUAACACAUGCAAGUCGAACGAGGUAGCAAUACCUAGUGGCAGACGGGUGAGUAACGCGUGGUCAACCUACCCUAGAGUGGGGGAUAACUAGCCGAAAGGUUAGCUAAUACCGCAUGAAACGUGCCGGGGCAUCUCGGAAUGUUGAAAGGAGCAAUCCGCUCAAGGACGGGACCGCGUCCCAUUAGCUAGUUGGUGGGGCAACGGCCUACCAAGGCACCGAUGGGUAGCUGGUUUGAGAGAGCGACCAGCCACACUGGGACUGAGAAACGGCCCAGACUCCUACGGGAGGCAGCAGUGAGGAAUUUUCCGCAAUGGGCGAAAGCCUGACGGAGCGACGCCGCGUGUGGG
RNAcentral lists this ribosomal RNA (369 nucleotides) under uncultured bacterium. Its description in RNAcentral is "bacterial SSU rRNA". It matches the Rfam family "Bacterial small subunit ribosomal RNA", at positions 28 to 407 of the family's 1533-position model. The record is from RNAcentral.